This 468-nucleotide ribosomal RNA is filed under the name uncultured bacterium. RNAcentral describes it as "partial 16S ribosomal RNA". It matches the Rfam family "Bacterial small subunit ribosomal RNA", at positions 28 to 507 of the family's 1533-position model. The record is from RNAcentral.
GACGAACGCUGGCGGCGUGCUUAACACAUGCAAGUCGAACGGAAAGGCCCUGCUUUUGUGGGGUGCUCGAGUGGCGAACGGGUGAGUAACACGUGAGUAACCUGCACUUGACUUUGGGAUAACUUCAGGAAACUGAGGCUAAUACCGGAUAGGAGUUCCUGCUGCAUGGUGGGGGUUGGAAAGUUUCGGUGGUUGGGGAUGGACUCGCGGCGUAUCAGCUUGUUGCUGGGGUAGUGGCUUACCAAGGCUUGGACGCGUAGCCUGCCUGAGAGGGUGACCGGCCACACUAGGACUGAGAUGAGACACAGACCCCAACGGGACGGAAGAGAGGAGAAUGGUAUACAAUGGGCGGAGGGCUGGUGUAGCAACGCAGUGUGGGGGAUGACGUGCAGCGGGUUGUGAACCACUGCCGCCUGUGACGAGACGUGAGUGACGGUACCGGGUAAAGAAGCACCGGCUAACUACGUG